RNAcentral lists this ribosomal RNA (468 nucleotides) under uncultured bacterium. RNAcentral describes it as "partial 16S ribosomal RNA". It matches the Rfam family "Bacterial small subunit ribosomal RNA", at positions 28 to 507 of the family's 1533-position model. The record is from RNAcentral.
GACGAACGCUGGCGGCGUGCUUAACACAUGCAAGUCGAACGGAAAGGCCCUGCUUUUGUGGGGUGCUCGAGUGGCGAACGGGUGAGUAACACGUGAGUAACCUGCCCUUGACUUUGGGAUAACUUCAGGAAACUGGGGCUAAUACCGGAUAGGAGCUCCUGCUGCAUGGUGGGGGUUGGAAAGUUUCGGCGGUUGGGGAUGGACUCGCGGCUUAUCAGCUUGUUGGUGGGGUAGUGGCUUACCAAGGCUUUGACGGGUAGCCGGCCUGAGAGGGUGACCGGCCACAUUGGGACUGAGGUACGGACCAGACUGCUACGGGAGGCAGCAGUGGGGAAUAUUGCACAAUGGGCGGAAGCCUGAUGCAGCAACGCCGCGUGCGGGAUGACGGCCUUCGGGUUGUAAACCGCUUUCGCCUGUGACGAAGCGUGAGUGACGGUAAUGGGUAAAGAAGCACCGGCUAACUACGUG